Long non-coding RNA from Mauremys reevesii (Reeves's turtle), 280 nucleotides. RefSeq lists it as uncharacterized. The record is from RefSeq and is a predicted model, not a curated record. The transcript is spliced from 3 exons. Lineage: Eukaryota; Metazoa; Chordata; Testudines; Geoemydidae.
GAUUCUAGUGCAGAGUUCUCUUCUAAUUAAAAAUGUAUUUACAUCAAGCUACAUUUGUACCUGCACACAGAUUACCCAGAGAUGGAAGAAUCCUGGAUGGCUGCUCUUCCAUGAGGACUGCAGAACAGUAGCUACUAGGUGGAUAUUUGACAAUUUCAAUGCAUUUCUCAAGAAGAAAACAAACAAAGGAUGUUUGAGUGAUAAGAGCUUCAACGAAAAACAGGAAGACUCUAUCUGCAACUGGAAAACGUAAUUGGAGUUGACAUGCAAGAAACUGUGG